CCUACGGGUGGCAGCAGUGAGGAAUAUUGGUCAAUGGCCGGAAGGCUGAACCAGCCAUGCCGCGUGAAGGUCAGUGCCCUAUGGGCGUUAAACUUCUUUUGUUCGGGAACAAUAAUGGUCACGUGUGGCCAGACGAGAGUACCGUACGAAUAAGCAUCGGCUAACUCAGUGCCAGCAGCCGCGGUAAUACGGGGGAUGCAAGCGUUAUCCGGAUUUAUUGGGUUUAAAGGGUGCGUAGGCUGUGAGGUAAGUCAGCGGUGAAAUGCCCCCGCUCAACGGGGUGAAGUGCCAUUGAUACUGCCUGGCUGGAAUGCGGAUGCCGUGGGAGGAAUGUGUGGUGUAGCGGUGAAAUGCAUAGAUAUCACACAGAACACCGAUUGCGAAGGCAUCUCACGAAGCCGCGAUUGACGCUGAUGCACGAAAGCGUGGGUAUCAAACAGGAUUAGAUACCCGAGUAGUC
This 460-nucleotide ribosomal RNA is filed under the name uncultured bacterium. Its description in RNAcentral is "partial 16S ribosomal RNA". It matches the Rfam family "Bacterial small subunit ribosomal RNA", at positions 338 to 795 of the family's 1533-position model. The record is from RNAcentral.